CGCAACGGCCGACGCGGCCCGGCAUUUUUCUCUAAAUCGGCAGUAAAUACAGCUGAGUAAAAUUAGCUUGGUUUUCUUCCUUCUUUUGUAACUGAACUGUUUUUAUUAAAAAUCCUAUUUGAAUAUGUAGAAAAAGUGGGGAUGUCCUGUAAUAUAUCGUAGCUUUUCUUGUUUACAGGGUGCUCACAAAGCAUGCGUCCCUUAGAGUCCCACGGAAAGGUUCUCAGUGCGCUCUCUAUCAAGUGCUCUGAGUCUUGAUAAAUUGGAGAAGAGCCCAAGAGAAAUUUUUCAUCCCUUGAUAUAAAAGGGAUCGGUGAAUUUUAACUUUGGAGUCCUCUAUGCUAAGGAUGCUCAGCUUACAGAUGGUGAAAUAUUCAGUAAUGUAUUUGCUGCAGCUCUGCGAACCCAAGCUUUGGGUUCCUUCUGUCCCACUGGGAGUUGCCCAAUUUGGUUGCAUCUGGUGAAAUUCACCCUGAGACCUUACAGAAGCAGCUGCAACUACGUGAGAGCCAUUUGCAGUUCUCUCCAGACACCUGGAGAAUGGGUGACGUUUCUGAGGAUCCGGCGAGCGUGCUUCUAUCAAAACUCAGUCUGUGAAAUUUCUGGGGAAAACCCUUCUGUGUCCUAAAGGGUUCAAACUCUGGUGAGGAUCCAGUUAUCAGGUGCUCACCUGGAUGGUUCCAGCUCCCAAAGGGAAAGACUCUCGUAUCCUUGUCGUCGGGCUCGGUGCUGUCCAAGAAGACACAGAGACUACAAAAACCAUAAGAAGCCAAAUAUGACUGCAGGGAAAAGAAGCUGGAGAGAACAGAAGACUCAUCACGGCGGGACAGCGUGAAGACUGAAAGUGUAAGAAGAUGUGGAGGGAAACAGAGAAUCUGACAGGAGCAGCGGACGCACAAGUGCACGAAUUUUGCUUUUUGCUUGGAUGUAAACGCAGGAGUUGAAAGGAAUUUGGCAGUGAGAAGGGACAUUUCAGAAGGAGAAGAAGAAAAAGAAGUUGUUGUUGCUGUUGCUACAGUCCUGGCAAAAGCUUUUGUUCUAGGGUGCUCACAAAGCAUGCGUCCCUUAGAGUCCCACGGAAAGGUUCUCAGUGCGCUCUCUAUCAAGUGCUCUGAGUCUUGAUAAAUUGGAGAAGAGCCCAAGAGAAAUUUUUCAUCCCUUGAUAUAAAAGGGAUCGGUGAAUUUUAACUUUGGAGUCCUCUAUGCUAAGGAUGCUCAGCUUACAGAUGGUGAAAUAUUCAGUAAUGUAUUUGCUGCAGCUCUGCGAACCCAAGCUUUGGGUUCCUUCUGUCCCACUGGGAGUUGCCCAAUUUGGUUGCAUCUGGUGAAAUUCACCCUGAGACCUUACAGAAGCAGCUGCAACUACGUGAGAGCCAUUUGCAGUUCUCUCCAGACACCUGGAGAAUGGGUGACGUUUCUGAGGAUCCGGCGAGCGUGCUUCUAUCAAAACUCAGUCUGUGAAAUUUCUGGGGAAAACCCUUCUGUGUCCUAAAGGGUUCAAACUCUGGUGAGGAUCCAGUUAUCAGGUGCUCACCUGGAUGGUUCCAGCUCCCAAAGGGAAAGACUCUCGUAUCCUUGUCGUCGGGCUCGGUGCUGUCCAAGAAGAUACAGAGACUACAAAAACCAUAAGAAGCAAAAUAUGACUGCAGGGAAAAGAAGCUGGAGAGAACAGAAGACUCAUCACGGCGGGACAGCGUGAAGACUGAAAGUGUAAGAAGAUGUGGAGGGAAACAGAGAAUCUGACAGGAGCAGCGGACGCACGAGUGCACGAAUUUUGCUUUUUGCUUGGAUGUAAACUCAGGAGUUGAAAGGAAUUUGGGAGUGAGAAGGGACAUUUCAGAAGGAGAAGAAGAAAAAGAAGUUGUUGUUGUUGUUGCUACAGUCCUGGCAAAAGCUUUUGUUCUAGGUAAUAAAAGAAGUUAGUUUAAAAAA
Long non-coding RNA from Melospiza melodia melodia, 1932 nucleotides. RefSeq lists it as uncharacterized. The transcript is spliced from 12 exons. The record is from RefSeq and is a predicted model, not a curated record. Lineage: Eukaryota; Metazoa; Chordata; Aves; Passeriformes; Passerellidae.